GCCAGGUGUGGUGGUGCAUGCCUGUAAUCCCAGUGGCUCUGGAGGCUGAGGCAAGAGGAUCAAGAGUUCAAAGCCAGCUUCAGCAAUGGUGAGGUGCUAAGCAACUCAGUGAGACCCUGUCUCUA
This 125-nucleotide small RNA is filed under the name Marmota monax (woodchuck). Lineage: Eukaryota; Metazoa; Chordata; Mammalia; Rodentia; Sciuridae. The record is from RNAcentral.